This 607-nucleotide ribosomal RNA is filed under the name Salmonella enterica. Its description in RNAcentral is "partial 23S ribosomal RNA". It matches the Rfam family "Bacterial large subunit ribosomal RNA", at positions 582 to 1190 of the family's 2925-position model. The record is from RNAcentral. RNAcentral also lists the same sequence under 4 other names. Lineage: Bacteria; Pseudomonadati; Pseudomonadota; Gammaproteobacteria; Enterobacterales; Enterobacteriaceae.
CCCUUUGGGGUGUGACUGCGUACCUUUUGUAUAAUGGGUCAGCGACUUAUAUUCUGUAGCAAGGUUAACCGAAUAGGGGAGCCGGAGGGAAACCGAGUCUUAAUUGGGCGUUAAGUUGCAGGGUAUAGACCCGAAACCCGGUGAUCUAGCCAUGGGCAGGUUGAAGGUUGGGUAACACUAACUGGAGGACCGAACCGACUAAUGUUGAAAAAUUAGCGGAUGACCUGUGGCUGGGGGUGAAAGGCCAAUCAAACCGGGAGAUAGCUGGUUCUCCCCGAAAGCUAUUUAGGUAGCGCCUCGUGAAUUCAUCUCCGGGGGUAGAGCACUGUUUCGGCUAGGGGGCCAUCCCGGCUUACCAACCCGAUGCAAACUGCGAAUACCGGAGAAUGUUAUCACGGGAGACACACGGCGGGUGCUAACGUCCGUCGUGAAGAGGGAAACAACCCAGACCGCCAGCUAAGGUCCCAAAGUCAUGGUUAAGUGGGAAACGAUGUGGGAAGGCCCAGACAGCCAGGAUGUUGGCUUAGAAGCAGCCAUCAUUUAAAGAAAGCGUAAUAGCUCACUGGUCGAGUCGGCCUGCGCGGAAGAUGUAACGGGGCUAAACCAU